Molecule: non-coding RNA, 81 nt
Filed under: Nicotiana attenuata
Lineage: Eukaryota; Viridiplantae; Streptophyta; Magnoliopsida; Solanales; Solanaceae
Description: Small nucleolar RNA snoR100
Rfam family: Small nucleolar RNA snoR100
Source: Rfam by way of RNAcentral
ACAGAAAUUGAAUUAUUGAGUCGGCAUGUCUGCUCCCUCUGAUUCCCUAAUGAUUUGGGGGCCUGGUUUAGACUCACAUCU